This 155-nucleotide unclassified non-coding RNA is filed under the name soil metagenome. RNAcentral describes it as "partial internal transcribed spacer 1". The record is from RNAcentral.
CAAGUGACCCCGGUCUAACCACCGGGAUGUUCAUAACCCUUUGUUGUCCGACUCUGUUGCCUCCGGGGCGACCCUGCCUUCGGGCGGGGGCUCCGGGUGGACACUUCAAACUCUUGCGUAACUUUGCAGUCUGGGUAAACUUAAUUAAUAAAUUA